Molecule: ribosomal RNA, 410 nt
Filed under: uncultured microorganism
Description: bacterial SSU rRNA
Rfam family: Bacterial small subunit ribosomal RNA
Source: RNAcentral
CAGCCGCCGCGGUAAUACGUAGGUGGCAAGCGUUGUCCGGAAUUAUUGGGCGUAAAGCGCGCGCAGGCGGUCUUUUAAGUCUGAUGUGAAAGCCCCCGGCUCAACCGGGGAGGGUCAUUGGAAACUGGGAGACUUGAGUACAGAAGAGGAGAGUGGAAUUCCACGUGUAGCGGUGAAAUGCGUAGAUAUGUGGAGGAACACCAGUGGCGAAGGCGACUCUCUGGUCUGUAACUGACGCUGAGGCGCGAAAGCGUGGGGAGCAAACAGGAUUAGAUACCCGGGUAGUCCACGCCGUAAACGAUGAGUGCUAGGUGUUAGGGGUUUCGAUGCCCUUAGUGCCGAAGUUAACACAUUAAGCACUCCGCCUGGGGAGUACGACCGCAAGGUUGAAACUUAAAGGAAUUGGCGGG